RNAcentral lists this transfer RNA (87 nucleotides) under Candidatus Peregrinibacteria bacterium. Its description in RNAcentral is "tRNA-Leu". It matches the Rfam family "tRNA". Rfam says of the family: Transfer RNA (tRNA) molecules are approximately 80 nucleotides in length. RNAcentral also lists the same sequence under 1 other name. Lineage: Bacteria; Candidatus Peregrinibacteriota. The record is from RNAcentral.
GCCGAGAUGGCGAAAUUGGUAGACGCGCGAGACUCAAAAUCUCGUUUCCUUCGGGAAGUGUGGGUUCGAUUCCCACUCUCGGCACCA